AUUGUUUUUUUUUUAUUUUUAAAUUUUAGGUAAAAUUAAAAUUUUUUUAAGUUAUUGUUUAAUUGUGUUUGUAAGUUUCGCUUGUUAAAUUAGAUUAGUACCUAAUUAAUCGAAGGUAAAAAUGUUCAGAAGUAAAGUAAUUUUUAAACUGAAAUAAUAUUGGCAGAUUUUAAAAUUAUCUUUGGAGGUUGAAUUGUAAUUGAUAAUCCUCAUUAACUGCUUGUUAUGUAAGCUCAUGUAUGAUCAUUUAUUAAGUGCUUUGGGUUCUUAAAUUUUAUUUUUUUUUGUAAAAAAAAUAGAUAUAUAUUUGGUUUAUUAAUUUAAGUUAUUUUGACCUACAAUUUUUUAAUUAGUAGAUUUUUAAUUUUGUGUUAAAAAGAAAAUGUAAAAGACAGUAAAAAGGUUUUUAUGUCUUUUUGAAGAGUAUUUUAAAAUGGUACAAA
RNAcentral lists this ribosomal RNA (443 nucleotides) under Halocercus lagenorhynchi. RNAcentral describes it as "partial small subunit ribosomal RNA". The record is from RNAcentral. Lineage: Eukaryota; Metazoa; Nematoda; Chromadorea; Rhabditida; Pseudaliidae.